RNAcentral lists this ribosomal RNA (497 nucleotides) under uncultured bacterium. RNAcentral describes it as "partial 16S ribosomal RNA". It matches the Rfam family "Bacterial small subunit ribosomal RNA", at positions 28 to 507 of the family's 1533-position model. The record is from RNAcentral.
GAUGAACGCUGGCGGCGUGCCUAAUACAUGCAAGUCGAGCGAACGGACGAGAAGCUUGCUUCUCUGAUGUUAGCGGCGGACGGGUGAGUAACACGUGGAUAACCUACCUAUAAGACUGGGAUAACUUCGGGAAACCGGAGCUAAUACCGGAUAAUAUUUUGAACCGCAUGGUUCAAAGGUGAAAGACGGUCUUGCUGUCACUUAUAGAUGGAUCCGCGCUGCAUUAGCUAGUUGGUAAGGUAACGGCUUACCAAGGCAACGAUGCAUAGCCGACCUGAGAGGGUGAGCGGCCACACUGGAACUGAGACACGGACCAGACUCCUACGGGAGGCAGCAGUAGGGAAUCUUCCGCAAUGGGCGAAAGCCUGACGGAGCAACGCCGCGGGAGUGAUGAAGGUCUUCGGAUCGUAAAACUCUGUUAUUAGGGAAGAACAUAUGUGUAAGUAACUGUGCACAGCUUGACGGUACCUAAUCAGAAAGCCACGGCUAACUACGUG